Long non-coding RNA from Phyllostomus discolor (pale spear-nosed bat), 5097 nucleotides. RefSeq lists it as uncharacterized. Lineage: Eukaryota; Metazoa; Chordata; Mammalia; Chiroptera; Phyllostomidae. The transcript is spliced from 2 exons. The record is from RefSeq and is a predicted model, not a curated record.
AACAAGGUGCCAGGCUGGAUAAAAACAAGGUAGAGGGUUGAAUUUGGCCCGUGGGCCUUGUGUUUGCAACCUGUGACUUAGAGUGUACAGGAAAUGUAGCAAUUGUCUCCUGGUAGUUAGCCGUCUCUCCAUCUGGCUUCCAGGAACCUUCAAGCCCCCAAACCUGAGAUUAGAAAUAAGGUAGCCUUAUCUCACUAAGUCAACUUCUGCCCAGGGGCCUGGACUGGAGGGCGAAAAGCAGUCUUUCUACUCAAGGACCGCUAUUUCACAUUUCCCAGGCUCCUGAAGAAUUGCAGACAGCAUUGGGAAUGGGGGUCUCUAGAAUGGGUGGGGCUGGGGCCUUCUUUUUCUCAGACUGUUGCUUUCUGUGGUCACACACUAGUUUCUGGACUGUGGAAUAGGUAGGUUUGUCACUGGGCACUGGGAAGCAUGCCUGAUGGGAGACUUGAAAGGCCCCCACUGCCCUUGGCUGGGCUGGGAACGGAGGGAACAUGGGAGAUGGGCCUGUAUCGCCGCACCCUUUACUAUGGCAAAGCCUUAGCAGUUACUGCAGGACGAAUUUUAGGGUCACUGUGUGGAUGCUGUAGGCCCCUCCCAACAGCAGAGCGAGCUUUGCCCAGCUCAGCACUAGGUGAAGGGCACAUCCUCGAAUCAUAUCAUGAUAACUACACAGUGAUAGGCCUGAGCCCCGUCUUCAGGCCCAAGAGGGCUGAGGUUGAGCUUUUCCUGUUUCCUUUUGCAAACAGGCCUUCCCGACUUCUUGGCUGGGUCUGCCAGUGUGACAUCUGGGCAUGACGGGUUUGAUACCUUGCUGGCCCGGCCUUGCUCCUGGGUCCUCAGGCAGCUGAUCUGAGAGCCUUUGGAGCUGCUGUGGUGGGUGGUGCCAGGGUGCCAUGCUCACCUGGCAUCCUCUGAAAUGGCAAUUAUAGUGGAAGGAGGCAGCUCCGAGUCACGCAGGCCUAGGGUGUCCUUGUGGGCCACUUAGGACCUAUGUGACCCAGGGGCAAUUUAUUUCACUCUCUGAGUCUCAGGGGUUUUUUAAUCUGUUGGAUGGGCAUGAUCUUUUCAUGACAAAGUAGUGGAGUGAUUCAAUUAAAUACUAAAUGUUAAGCAGCUUUCUUAGCUCUGUGGCCACAUCUAUUGUUGCCCUUCUUUUGGUUUCAUUGCCAUUGAGGUCAUUCCCACAGAUAGUGGCACAAGGCUGCCUUGUCCCCUCCGGCCUGCAGAACAUGUGACUGCCUGUCUCUUCAGGGUGCCUGACUCCUACCUUCAGCAGCCCCUUCAGAAACAGUUAAGGAGAUCAAUAGUUAUCUGCUUACCUUUCUGGCUCAGAUGAGAUUUUAUGCUUGUUACUAGCAGAUCGAUAGCGAACGCACAUUCUGUUAAGUUUUCCGUAGGAGUCAUUAAUCUCCCUCAGCCUCAGUUUCCCUACUUGUGAAGUGAGUCUAACCAGGACGAUAAUGGAGAGUUGGGUCAAGUGAGGCUGGCAGCCAGACACCCACGACUGGCUGUGACAUGGGAGCACGUGUUCGCCCACAGCCCCAGGUCAGCCGCCGUCAUUCAGCCUGGAGUAACGAACUGCCACACUGAGGGCUUUUCUGUCCUUCCUCGGCCACACAGCUCAGCCGAGGCUCUCACUCCAAAACUGGUCACAGACACUUCAGUACGACAAAGUGCCAUUUGAGAGCAAACAGUAGAGAAAUGUAUGUUCUUGUUUUUCUUCUAAUGACUCUUACAAAUUUUCAUUCCUCCCUUGGAAGUUUUCAAAUACGGCUGCAUGCAUUUCCCAUGCAUUUUACACAUUGACUAUUGAAACUGGGUCUGGACAGGUGUGGCUCUUUGUGAUCUCGUAACCUUGCUGUCCAGGGUAACAGUAUAGCCUGGAAAGGGCCACUACUGAGCACCCAAGCCAGGGCUUGUACUGAUGGGCAGGUGCCAUUCUGGGGUCUUUGCAACGAUAGGAGGGGAGUUUGGAAAUCAUCAGAACAUUUGUCACUAGAGCGGCUGAUAACCAAAGCGUGCAUCGGUAUGGGUAACAGUUGUCGGAGGAGUGGGAGGGGGCGGUGACAGAUAGUCGGGUGACUUUAACGUUUAUAUUCCACUGGGGUGAGCUCUAACAAAGGCCUGUCAUUUCCCAGAUAACCAAUCCUUUUAAAAGAACAUCUGUUGAAACUGGCAAUUUACAUUCUUCUUAAAAUACGCAGUGACAUAAUUAACCCUCUGGGGAGACUAAUAUUAGUUUAUUAAAGACAAUUUCUAGUUCUGUUUAUUUUUACACUAAAUGAUUUGUGCAUAUUGGAAAAAAAAUUUUUUUAGUUGUGGUGUGGGUUCAGUGUUAUUUGGGGUUGAUUCUCCCUUGUUGAGGACACAGGUAAGUAGCUGGGUGAUGAUGUAUGGGCGCAAUGGUCGUCGCCCAGGCACUAAUGGAAGCAUGCUGAAAAUGCUCGUGUUGUUUGACAUUUGAAUAACUUGGCAAUGCGCUAACUUUGGGGUAUAAUUAGUCUGUUUUAAAGUGACCUGACCUGCCGUGUGUGUGUGUGUGUGUGUAUGUGAGCUAAGUGGCUCCUUUUGUCUCCAGUCACGGUGGUGGGCUCCUUUAGCACCCAUAGUUGGUGGGGUUUUCUCAUGCUCAUUGCUGUAGUUCCUAUAAACUGAUCCAUACUCUCCACAAGAAGAUCGUGGACCCUCAGUUCUUUCUCACAUUGGACUAAUUUCAAUCAGAGAAGAGGGAAGACAGGGCCUUUUGACACUGUGCAGAGGCCAAAUGAAGCUAUAGUCCUGCUAAUUGUUCAGACAGCCUCCUCUGAAUUGCAAAGCACCAUUUGAAUAUCCAGUCAUUUUGCCCUCAGUCCUAUAUCCCACAGCAAACAGCCAACUCCUGUUUUCCUCACGAUGACUCUUCAAAUGUGGGCAUUCCCUUUCCAAAGUAACUCUUCACUUCUCAUCUCCCACCUAAGCAUUCAGUUACUCAAAGAGCCCUCCCCCAUUAGCACUUGCCCUACUGCAAAACAGGAUUCAUUAACAGCAGCUCACAGAAUAAAACUAGCAAUCGGCUCAAGUGAAAGUCACCGUGAGCUCCUCGGCUCAGCUCACAAGCCGCUGACCUGGCUCCAGGUCACUGCUCUGGCCUCCUUCGCUUCCACUUCUGCAGCCAAACUGAACUGAGCUCCCCGGGCUGACUCAUCUGUGCCAGUUGUGCUAACCCUCUCCCCAGGUUCCCGCUCCUGCCCUCUAUUCACAUGCCCGUUAACAAACUGCUCUUUGUCCAUCAAAUACCAGCACUCGGCACGUUGUCUUCUGUGAAGCCUCCCCAGACCUUUACUUACCUAGACAACUGGUCAUCUCCUCUCUCCAGCUGCCUGACACAUGGGCACUUCUGUAUCAUAGUUGUCCAACUGCACGGUCAUCUUUCCCAUUGGAUGAAAUGUCCCUUGGGAAAAGGACCAUGUUUCAUUCUAGUUCUAACCUCGACCUACACCAAAUAGCUGCUCAGUGAACGGUUGUUGAAUUUAGUUCUUCCCUUCCCCCGGCUGAUCUGUAUUUAAGGUCUAAUUGCACUUGGUGCCUUGUUUUCAAUGAAAUAUGGGUUGCAUCACAUGUGUGUGGGAGUGAUUAGAGAAUCCGAUCAACCUGGGAAUUGCUGACUCACACCUGGAGUUUCUUUAUUUGCAACCUGGAAGAAGAGAACUGAAUUUGAACCCCCUGGAGAAAAUUCCAGCACGUGAAACUAUUUUGCAUAACAGUCAUUUGAAGAUUGGGAUGGGGGUGGGUACAGGUGCCCCUGGAGACCUGAGAGUCACCGCCACUCAUUGCACUGCCUUCCACCCCCUCCCUUAGCGGCCUUCAUCAAGAUUGUGCAGCCCACAGUGCUGCUGAGUGGCAUCACUUGGCGUGAUCCCUGCACAUGAAACGUGUUCAGCGUAAUAAGUGAUUCUCUAAGGCACAGAGUGGAGGGUGUGGGCGUGUACUCUCUAGAUUUCUGAAACUUGGCAUUCUCCCUUGAAAAUUCCUGGCUUGCACAUCACAGUUAAAUGAACACCAGAAGAUAAGUGGCAGUGUAGCUCAAGGGGCACUUCUGUAGCAAGGAAAACAGAUAGUCCCACAGACACUGUGUGUACCGCUUGUUAGGGGUGAGGGGGCUCCACUAAAGGCCAGUGGAGCCUUCAUGAGGCAUGGGUUACCAGGCACACAAUCAUCGAGGAGACACGUCUCCUGAAAAUGUGGAUAUAUGUGUGUAUCUUCAAACUGAGUAAUUUAUUUUUUCUUCUCUAUCACUAGCCACUGGGCAAGUGACCCAGGAUAGUGGUCCACUGAAUGGACCACCUCAAUGAUUCUUCAGCAAUUCAGUCCAUUCCUUUAACUUCCUAGCCUGUCUUUUAUCUCUGUAUGUAAAACCCACCACCCCACAAUGUGUGGAAUCAAAUAUAUUCAACAUCUAAGCUACACUGGAUUGACUGUGGUUAACAUAAGAGCGCUUUGCUGCAUCUAGAACCAUAGCAACGAACAAGAGAUGCUCUGUGACCUUGGGGACAGAGCCCAGGGCCUGCCACUGGGAGGUGUUUACUCAAUCUGUGUUUCCCUGCUGUCCCCAAUGAGACUGGGUUCAUGUUGGAAUUUUCUGUAUGUCCUGGCUUAGGGAAGUUUUAUUGUGGUGCUCGUGUGCAACAACCUUCCGAGUUGUAACCGAGGGAGUUAGCGAGCUCUUAGAGAACAUGCAUCACCAUAUCCAAAUAGGUUUUCCCCUUAAUUUGUAGCCUUUUGACAAAUUACCAGGAGCUUCGUCCCUGAUAUACUGAAUGGUGAACGCUCAGUGUGCCUGCAUCCAGUUCCCAAGUCCUUUACCCCUGUCAGACAUUACUAAUCAAUCAUGAUCGUGCUCAGCACACUACUCCAGGUAACCACUACUAAUCAUCCAGAGUCAGUAUGGGAGCUACUUUUUAUCUGUCACCCUUGCAAAGUGGUAUUUUGGUAAAGAACACCGCAGUUCAUCCUGCAGGAUGCAGACUGGCCCCAGGUAUAGCAGUCAUACCUUCAGGGACCUUGUUCCCUGUGAUGUUGUACAGUCACGGGUUGGCCUUCCUCCUGGGAGAAGGCUGG